UACGUAGGGUGCGAGCGUUAAUCGGAAUCACUGGGCGUAAAGCGCACGUAGGCGGAUCCUUAAGUCGGGGGUGAAAUCCUGGAGCUCAACUCCAGAACUGCCUUCGAUACUGAGGAUCUCGAGUCCGGGAGAGGUGAGUGGAACUGCGAGUGUAGAGGUGAAAUUCGUAGAUAUUCGCAAGAACACCAGUGGCGAAGGCGGCUCACUGGCCCGGUACUGACGCUGAGGUGCGAAAGCGGUGGGGAGCAAACAGG
RNAcentral lists this ribosomal RNA (254 nucleotides) under uncultured bacterium. Its description in RNAcentral is "partial 16S ribosomal RNA". It matches the Rfam family "Bacterial small subunit ribosomal RNA", at positions 524 to 776 of the family's 1533-position model. The record is from RNAcentral.